UAAAAAUUUAAGGGUAUAUGGUGGAUGCCUUGGGAGAUUGAGGCGAUGAAGGACGUGGCGUAGCUGCGAUAAGCCUCGGGGAGGUGCGUAGCAACCUUUGAUCCGGGGAUUUCCGAAUGCGUCAACGCGUUCUGGCGACAAGCCAGUUCACCCGCCCAAAUUUUUAAGCUUUUGAUUUCUUUACUUUCCUGGACAAUAAAUAAAAGAAAAAGAGCGCAGCUUACUGUGCCCCUUCCGUCAUCAGGUCUUUACCUGACAGCACCGCCGAAUUUGGUAAUUCAGCUUAUUAUUAUAAUAGCAUGUUCAAAGAGCAAAGAGCUUUGUCAAGAGCUUUUAAAAAUUUGGGCGGGAGCGAACCCGCUGAAGUGAAACAUCUCAGUAAGCGGAGGAAAAGAAAAAAAUGCUUCGCUUCGCUCAUUGUAGCGAUGCCAAUAUACGAAUGCAUACCAAUGAUACGAAUAAUAAAAAUCCGUAGUCAUUAGUAUAAUUAGCAUCAAUUAGUAUAUUAGUAUCGAUAUAGCGAGCGGAGCGAGCGUAUUCCCUUAGUAGCGGCGAGCGAAAAGGGAAAAGCCUAAACCGAGCACUCAAUUUGCACCGCGCUUCGCGCGAAAUUCUUGAAGACAGUGCAAAUUGAGUGCUCGGGGUUGUAAGAGAGUAGCAUCCAAAUCGUUCGUGCCUCACUAUUGUUCGGCACUCACUUGAUAAAAAUCUAAAAAUUUAAAAAUAUAAAAAUUUAAAACAAAUAUUUUUAAUUUUUUAAGUUUUUAACAGCGAGUGGCGAGCGAUAGCGAGGCGCGAGCGCAUGGGGGAGAAUAAAAAGAUGGAACUUCGUUAGCCGAAUAUUACUGGAAAGAAUAACCAUAGGGGGUAAUAGUCCCGUAGGCGAAAACGGUUCCAUGCUCCAAAUCGCUCCUCACUUUCGUUCGGAAACAUCAUGAUGCAAAUAUGCGAAUUUUAUGCGAAUGAUGCGAACUGCUGAUAAUAUAUUCGCAGUCUGUAGAUUUGCCCCGUUAGAGAAUUGAGAGCGUUUAUUAUUCUGAUAGAGCUCAAUUUUUUUAACAUCAUUAUUGAUUUUGGAUUACACAUUGAUUUCUCUAACGGGGUGAGCAUUAGAUUUGUAGAUUUGCAUUAUGCUGGAGCAACGAGCGGAAGCGAGGAGCGAUGGCUGCUUUAGGAAGUUCAAUUUCUGGUUUCAGGGAUUGAGCUUCUAUUCUUGAGUACUGCGGGAAAUGAAAGCCCCGCAGGAAGCAGGCCGGACUAUUGGCCAAGGCUAAAUACUCAAUCUCACCGAUAGUGAACAAGUACCGUGAGGGAAAGGUGAAAAGUAGCCCGGUGAGGGCGGUGAAAUAGUACCUGAAAUCAUAUACCCACAAAGACUCGGAGGUCCUGUCUACGACAGGACUACGGAUUUACGCUGAUAAAUAGCCGAUUUUCGCUGAUAAAAUCAGUGAAAAUCAGUUUUUAAUCGGUGGUAAUCAGUGGUCCCGCCGUAGGCGGGACUGACGGGGUGCUUUUUGCAGAACGAGCCAACGAGUCCGAGCACUCAACUUAUCUAAGUCUUUUUAGGAUGAAGAUAUAGGGAAACCGAGUGUUAAUAGCGCGUGCGGCUUUUGCCGUAUGUUGAGUGCUCGGGACCCGAAGCCAAGCGAGCUUACCAUGGUCAGGAUGAAUCUCGUCGAAAGGCGGGAGGAGGUCCGUACCCACCAGCCGUGCAAUACUGGGGGAUGAACUGUGGCAAGAAGUGAAAAGCUAAUCGAGCUUGGUAAUAGCUGGUUCUCCCCGAAAUAGCUUUAGGGCUAGCGCUCCAAUAAAUUAAGAUACCUGGGGGUAGAGCACUGGAUGGAUUAUUUUGAGCUUUGCUUAGAUAAUCCAACUAAACUCCGAAUACCAGAGUAUCUAACGGAGCAGUCAGACUGUGGGGGCUAAGCUCCAUGGUCAAAAGGGAAACAGCCCAGAUCGUCAUCUAAGGUCCCUAAAUCUAAGUUAAGUGGUAAAGGAGGUGCUUCGACUUUGACAGACAGGAUGUUGGCUUAGAGGUAGCCAUCAUUUAAAGAGUGUGUAACAACUCACUGUUCUAUCGUUCGUGCCUCACUAAUGUUCGGCACUCACUUGAUAAAAAUCUAAAAAUUUAAAAAUAUAAAAAUUUAAAACAAAUAUUUUUAGAUUUUUAAUUUUUUAAGUUUUUAACNNNNNNNNNNNNNNNNNNNNNNNNNNNNNNNNNNCUUAGUACCGAAGAUACGAAGCGCGCUUCACUUUCGUUCAGCGCUAAUAUCAAAUAUAAAAUAUAAAAAAUAAAAAACAAUUCAAAAUUUUCUUUCAGAAAAUUUUGAUAGGAAAUAUUUUAUAUUUUAUUUUUAAUUUUUUAUUUUAGCGCCGAGCGGUAGCGAGGCGCGCUGGUAGGGGAGCGUCCUUAUUGCCGUGAAGUCAAAUCGUAAGAUUUGGUGGAGUGAUAAGGAGUGAAGAUGUUGGCAUGAGUAAUCGCAAUCCCGAUGCGAUAUCGGGACACCGUAAACCCAAGGUUUCCUUGGCAAUGGAUAUCAGUCAAGGGUUAGGCGGGCCUAAUCUUGUCAGUGAAAACUGGCGGGAAAUGGACAGUCGGUUAAUAUUCCGACCCACCCGUUAGAUAAUUUUCAAAAUGACGAAGAGUAGUACUUUGAGCGUAUUAUUGGAUUUACGUUUGCAACAUAAGAUUUUUUCAAGUGUUGUGAAGAUUUUUUCCUUCGGGAGAAGAAAUUCAAAGGAGCAUUCUUCCUAGAAAAGUUUUGAUUAUACUAUCUAAUGGGUUCCGUACCGCAAACCGACACAGGUGGGUGAGGCGAGUAGCCUAAGGUGAACGGGUGAUUCCUCGUUAAGGAACUCGGCAAAAAAGCUAGGCGUAAGUUCGCAAUAUGCCUUCCCUGUCGUUCGCGCUUCACUAUUGUUUGGCACUCACUUGAUAAAAAUCUAAAAAUUUAAAAAUAUAAAAAUUUAAAACAAAUAUUUUUAGAUUUUUAAUUUUUUAAGUUUUUAACANNNNNNNNNNNNNNNNNNNNNNNNNACAGGUCCCUGCUAACUCGUAAGAGGAUGUAUAGGGGCUGACGCCUGUCCAGUGCUGGAACCUUAACCUCGGCGGUGCGUUCCGCUUUCGCGUCACGACCGCCUCAUAAAUCCUAAAUUCGAAAUCCUAAAUCCUAAACAAUAUUUAAAUCACAAUUUUCCAAAUUCCAAACACGAGUUUGGAACAUUUGAAUUUAGAAUCUGGAAUUUGUUUGGAAUUUAGACAUUAGAAUUUAAAAUUUUGAGGUUAGUCGCGGAGCGACAGCGGAGCGUGCUAACCGAGCGAAGGGCCAGUGAACGACCGCGGUAACUAUAAGCACACGGAUUGUAGUUGUAAAAUCUAACUAUAUGCGGGGAAAUCUGGUAAGUAUCUAGUGUUACUCAACUCCUUAAACGUCGGAGUAUAGUAAAAAUACACUAGUGCAGAUUAUCCGCAGGAAAGAUUCCUUAAGUUUCCUAAAACUAUGGAACAAUGGCUUAAACAAGUGCCGUCCGAAAUUGGUUAUUACCUAUCCGGUUUCGUAGAUGGCGAGGGGAGUUUUAAUCUCUCCGUACGCAAAGGCGAAGGAUACAGAUAUGGAUGGCAGCUUGGAUUGAGCUUCAACGUAUCCCAAAGGGAUAAUACGAAUCUCUUUCUCCUGAAAAGAUAUUUGGGAUGCGGGAGGCUGAAAACAAGAAAAGAUGGAGUACAUUCUUUCGUCGUUGAAAACUUCAACUCGCUGAAAGGACGAGUAAUUCCUUUCUUCAAAAGGUUUAAUUUUCUUUCUUCUCGGACAAAGACAAAUUUCUCAAUUUUUACAAAAAUUGUAAAAUUGAUGGACGAAAAGAAACAUUUAACAUCCGAAGGAUUAAAGGAAAUUCUUGAACUUCGAGAAAAGUUAAAUGAAGGACGAGGAAGAAAACAAAAAUACAAUUUAAAAGACGUUAAUCUAACUUAAGGAAAAUCCUCAGAGACUAUACGUUAGAACCCUGAUGAAUUUCAGGAUAUGAGAUAGUCCGAUCUCACGAGCGAUUGUGAGUAUCAGCAAAAGCUGAAAUAACAAAAUGAACCGUGUUAAAGUAGCGUAAUCCCUUGCCGUGUAAGUUACGGCCCGCAUGAAAGGCAUAACGACUGAGGAACUGUCUCAACGAGGAGCCCGAUGAAAAUGCAAUGGGGGUGAAGAUGCCCCCUUCCUGCGGCUAGACGAAAAGACCCCGGGAGCUUUACUAUAGCUUUUUAUUGUUUUAGUGUUUUGGAUGCGUAGUGUAGAUGGGAGGCGAUGAAUCCUCGCUUUCGGGCGGGGUGGAGCCGCCAAUGAAACACCAUCCUUUCAAAAUGCUAUGACUAACCGAGCACUCAGAUAUGCACUAUCUAACAAGAAAAAUGACAAGAAGAAGUUUUGGCAAAAAUAAUUGAUUGUGAUAGCGCAUAACUGAGUGCUCGGGACAGUGGAUGGCGGGUAGUUUAAGUGGGGCGCUUGCCUCCUAAAGAGUAGCGGAGGCGUUUAUAAGGUCGGCUAACUCCGGAUGGAAAUCGGAGUGAUAGGGUAAAGCUAUAAGCCGGCUUGACUGCAAGGCGUAUAUGCCGCGCAGAGAGGAAACUCGAACUUAGUGAACCGACGGAUUUUAAUAGAAAAUCCGAAGAUCAUCAGACAAAAGUUACCCCGGGGAUAACAGGCUAGUAGGGCCCGAGAGUCCUUAUCGACGGCCCUGUUCGGCACCUCGAUCAGUUAGCCGAUUGUCGAGGUUAAAUCGACUCAUAACGGAGAAAGCCAUAUAUAAACCCCAGCAAUAAUUUGAUAUAAUUUAUAUAUGGUCAACACCGUGGGAAGUUGCGAAAAUAAAUAUUGGAAUAAGAAAUGGAUCCCAAUUAAAAAAGCGCUUGCGUUAAAUUUAAAGCAAAAAGCGUUAAUUAUUGGGUCUCUUCUUGGUGAUGGAACAAUGCGCUUAGGUAAAGGCGCAAGGAAUGUUAACUUUAAAGCAGAACACGGAUUAAUGCAAAAAGAUUAUGUUAAGUGGAAGUAUCAGAUACUUAAACCAUUUGUAUUUACUGAACCAAAGAUAAGUUAUAGGUACAACGAAAACGGCGACAGAUAUGCAAAAUCCUGGUGGUUUAGAACGAUAAGACACCCCAUAUUUACGCAGAUUUAUAAAAAAUUCUACAAAGGAGAAAAACACAGGAAUGGAAGGAAGAUAGUUCCAUCAGAAAUAAAGGAAGAAAUAAAUCCUUUUGUAUUAGCUGUGUGGAUAAUGGAUGAUGGAUCAUACUCAAAAGGCAGAAUUGAUAUUAGCACUUAUUCAUUUUCGUUAAAAGAAAUAAAUACAUUGCAGGAACCUAUUAAGAAUGUUCUCGGUAUUAGGGCAAAUUAUUAUCGAGACCGCGACAAAGGAUUCAGAAUGUAUUUUAAUCAAGAAGAUACCAGGAAAUUAAUUAAGGUAAUUCAUCCAUACACCAUUCCUUCAAUGAUGUAUAAAAUAGGCUUUCGCAACCCCGUAACGACUGGAUUCCCGCUAUUUGCCAAAAAUACGGGAUGAAGAUAACAUUUUAUAAUGUUAUAAAACGUCGAUAUCUAGAUUGGAUAAUCUGGGUAAAGGUAUAGUCUAUUCUAUUAGUAAUAAUAGAUUCAGUGGUCGGCUCAGCGCAUCCUGGAGGUGGAGAAGCUUCCAAGGGUUGGGCUGUUCGCCCAUUAAAGCGUUACGCGAGCUGGGUUCAAACCGUCGUGAGACAGGUUGGACUCCUAUCUGCCGUAGGCGCCGAGUCUUGAGGAGAGUUCUGGGUAGUACGAGAGGACCCCCAGGAACUAACCUCUGGUCUACCAGUUGUCACGCCAGUGGCAUUGCUGGGUAGCUAAGUUGGGAAAGGAUAAGCACUGAAAGCAUAUAAGUGCGAAGCCUCCUUCAAGAUUAAGACUCAUAGAUUGGUUGAAGACUACGACCUUGAUAGGCUGCAGGUGUAAGCCCCGUAAGGGGUUUAGCCGAGCAGUACUAAUAAAUCAUC
RNAcentral lists this ribosomal RNA (6013 nucleotides) under Parcubacteria group bacterium CG11_big_fil_rev_8_21_14_0_20_39_14. RNAcentral's name for it is "23S ribosomal RNA". The stretch from base 1 to 4828 matches the Rfam family "Bacterial large subunit ribosomal RNA". The record is from RNAcentral.